RNAcentral lists this ribosomal RNA (443 nucleotides) under uncultured bacterium. RNAcentral's name for it is "partial 16S ribosomal RNA". It matches the Rfam family "Bacterial small subunit ribosomal RNA", at positions 338 to 795 of the family's 1533-position model. The record is from RNAcentral.
CCUACGGGAGGCAGCAGUGGGGAAUAUUGGACAAUGGGGGGAACCCUGAUCAAGCGACGCCGCGUGAGUGAAGAAGUAUUUCGGUAUGUAAAGCUCUAUCAGCAGGGAAGAAAGAAAUGACGGUACCUGACUAAGAAGCCCCGGCUAACUACGUGCAAGCAGCCGCGGUAAUACGUAGGGGGCAAGCGUUAUCCGGAUUUACUGGGUGUAAAGGGAUCGUAGACGGUUACGCAAGUCUGGAGUGAAAGGCUGGGGCCCAACCCCCGGACUGCUUUGGAAACUGUAUAACUGGAGUGCAGGAGAGGUAAGUGGAAUUCCUAGUGUAGCGGUGAAAUGCGUAGAUAUUAGGAGGAACACCAGUGGCGAAGGCGACUAUCUGGCACAUAACUGACGCUGAGGAGCGAAAGCGUGGGUAGCAAACAGGAUUAGAUACCCCAGUAGUC